GAUGAAGAACGUAGCGAAAGGCGAUAAGUAAUGUGAAUUCCAGAAUUCAGUGAAUCAUCGAAUCUUUGAACGCACAUUGCGCCCGUCAGUAUUCUGGCGGGCAUGCCUGUUCGAGCGUCAUUACGCCCCUCAAGUCCCCUGUGGACUUGGUGUUGGGGAUCGGCGAGGCUGGUUUUCCAGCACAGCCGUCCCUUAAAUUAAUUGGCGGUCUCGCCGUGGCCCUCCUCUGCGCAGUAGUAAAACACUCGCAACAGGAGCCCGGCGCGGUCCACUGCCGUAAAACCCCCCAACUUUUUAUAGUUGACCUCGAAUCAGGUAGGACUACCCGCUGAACUUAAGCAUAUCAAUAAGCGGAGGA
Molecule: unclassified non-coding RNA, 358 nt
Filed under: soil metagenome
Description: partial contains 5.8S ribosomal RNA, internal transcribed spacer 2, and large subunit ribosomal RNA
Rfam family: 5.8S ribosomal RNA (bases 1-120)
Source: RNAcentral